UGGCCUUGUGGUUAGAGUGUCCGCCUCCGGAGCGGGAGGACGUGGGUUCAAAUCCCGU
Non-coding RNA from Lingula anatina, 58 nucleotides. NCBI's taxonomy places the organism in Eukaryota, Metazoa, Brachiopoda, Lingulata, Lingulida, Lingulidae. The record is from Rfam.